CGGUAGGGCGGGGCUAUGGCGGGCGCGGGGCCGCCCGUCCCCUCCUGCCUGCUGCUGGGGGCGGCGGGCGGCGGGAAGAGCCUCCUCGCGCGGCGGCUGCGUCAGCUGAGCGCGGCGGAGGCGCCGGCGGAGCUGGGCGAGCCCCCGGCCACGCUGCCCACGGUGGGCACCAACCUGACCGACCUGCGGCUGCCGCGGCGGGUGACGGUGCGGGAGGUGGGCGGCUGCAUGGGCCCCAUCUGGCACAGCUACUACGGGGAGUGCAGCGUGCUCCUGUUCGUGGUGGACGCCGCCAACCCCACCCAGGUCUCCUCGUCCUGUGUCCAGCUGCUCUCUGUGCUCUCUGCCGCACCGCUGAGCUCCGUGCCCGUCCUCGUCCUCUUCAAUAAGAUUGACCUGCCCUGCUACAUGUCUCCGUGGGAGAUGAAGUCGCUGUUCCGCAUGCAGGACAUCGUCUCCUGUGCCACGCAGCCCAUCACAGUGCUGGACACCAGCGCCCGUGACAGCACCGGCCUGGCCCAGGUCCUGCAGUGGCUCCGGGCCACCCUCGAAGACCCCCGCUGACCCCGGCCCUGCAGCAGGCUGGGCCAGUCCCUCCCCGAGCUGCCUUGUGCUUGAAAACCAUGGCUUUUGGGGAAGGGAUGAGCAGGAAUGAUAGAAUCACAGAACAUCAGGGGUUGGAAGGGACCUCUAGGGAUCAUGAAGUCCAACCCCCCUCCCACAGCAGGAUCACGCAGGACAGGCCACACAGGAACACAUCCAGCUCUGGGCAGCAGGAUCACUCGUGUCCCCGUGGAGCUGCCACAGAAUGUCCCAGUGGUUCCUUGGCUGUUGCAACCCAGAGGAGA
This is an RNA transcript of Calypte anna (Anna's hummingbird), 848 nucleotides long. It is a transcript of the gene named ADP ribosylation factor like GTPase 16, with no coding region annotated. The record is from RefSeq and is a predicted model, not a curated record. NCBI's taxonomy places the organism in Eukaryota, Metazoa, Chordata, Aves, Apodiformes, Trochilidae. The transcript is spliced from 7 exons.